AUCAUUUAAGCUAAAAUAGUAUUAAAUUUAGGAUUUAAAGAGGAGUAAGAUACUCAGAUGAUU
This 63-nucleotide transfer RNA is filed under the name Parhyale hawaiensis. RNAcentral's name for it is "tRNA-Leu". Lineage: Eukaryota; Metazoa; Arthropoda; Malacostraca; Amphipoda; Hyalidae. The record is from RNAcentral.